RNAcentral lists this ribosomal RNA (370 nucleotides) under uncultured bacterium. RNAcentral's name for it is "bacterial SSU rRNA". It matches the Rfam family "Bacterial small subunit ribosomal RNA", at positions 524 to 898 of the family's 1533-position model. The record is from RNAcentral.
UACGGAGGUGGCAAGCGUUACUCGGUUUGACUGGGUGUAAAGGGUCCGUAGGUGGCCUUGCAAGUGAAAGGUGAAAUCCUUCUGCUCAACGGUAGAAUUGCCUUUCAAACUGCUUGGCUUGAGGGUGAAAGAGGAGAGCGGAACUGCCGGUGUAAAGGUGAAAUUUGUGGAUAUCGGCAGGAACGCCUGUGGAACAAUCGGCUCUCUGGUUCAUUCCUGACACUGAGGGACGAAAGCUAGGGGAGCAAACAGGAUUAGAUACCCUGGUAGUCCUAGCCGUAAACUAUGGGCACUAGGUACUUGUCUUCGGAUGGGUGCCGAAGUUAACACGUUAAGUGCCCCACCUGGGGACUACGGCCGCAAGGCUAAA